This 326-nucleotide ribosomal RNA is filed under the name uncultured Clostridiaceae bacterium. Its description in RNAcentral is "bacterial SSU rRNA". It matches the Rfam family "Bacterial small subunit ribosomal RNA", at positions 28 to 339 of the family's 1533-position model. Lineage: Bacteria; Bacillati; Bacillota; Clostridia; Eubacteriales; Clostridiaceae. The record is from RNAcentral.
GAUGAACGCUGGCGGCGUGCUUAACACAUGCAAGUCGAGCGAGAACCUAAAAAUGACGCUUCGGUAGAUUUUUAGGCGGAAAGCGGCGGACGGGUGAGUAACGCGUAGGCAACCUGCCCUUAGCAGAGGGAUAGCCUCGGGAAACCGGGAUUAAAACCUCAUAAUACUGAUUUGUCACAUGUCAGAUUAGUCAAAGAUUUAUCGGCUAAGGAUGGGCCUGCGUCUGAUUAGCUGGUUGGUGAGGUAACGGCUCACCAAGGCAAUGAUCAGUAGCCGACCUGAGAGGGUGAUCGGCCACAUUGGAACUGAGACACGGUCCAAACUCC